UUCGGAAUAACUCAGAGAAAUUUGAGCUAAUACCGGAUAAUGUCUUCGGACCAAAGAUUUAUCGCCUUUAGAUGGGCCCGCGUUAGAUUAGAUAGUUGGUGGGGUAAUGGCCUACCAAGUCGACGAUCUAUAGCUGGUCUGAGAGGAUGAUCAGCCACACUGGGACUGAGACACGGCCCAGACUCCUACGGGAGGCAGCAGUGGGGAAUAUUGGACAAUGGGCGAAAGCCUGAUCCAGCAAUGCCGCGUGAGUGAUGAAGGCCUUAGGGUUGUAAAGCUCUUUUACCAGGGAUGAUAAUGACAGUACCUGGAGAAUAAGCUCCGGCUAACUCCGUGCCAGCAGCCGCGGUAAUACGGAGGGAGCUAGCGUUGUUCGGAAUUACUGGGCGUAAAGCGCGCGUAGGCGGCUUUUUAAGUCAGGGGUGAAAUCCCGGGGCUCAACCCCGGAACUGCCCUUGAAACUGGAUGGCUAGAAUACUGGAGAGGUGAGUGGAAUUCCGAGUGUAGAGGUGAAAUUCGUAGAUAUUCGGAAGAACACCAGUGGCGAAAG
RNAcentral lists this ribosomal RNA (550 nucleotides) under Pseudoruegeria sp. NH89-79. RNAcentral describes it as "bacterial SSU rRNA". It matches the Rfam family "Bacterial small subunit ribosomal RNA", at positions 137 to 721 of the family's 1533-position model. Lineage: Bacteria; Pseudomonadati; Pseudomonadota; Alphaproteobacteria; Rhodobacterales; Roseobacteraceae. The record is from RNAcentral.